This is a long non-coding RNA of Rattus norvegicus (Norway rat), 3189 nucleotides long. RefSeq lists it as uncharacterized. Lineage: Eukaryota; Metazoa; Chordata; Mammalia; Rodentia; Muridae. The record is from RefSeq and is a predicted model, not a curated record.
AAUUUCACAUAAGCCCAGGCUGCCUGUAAACCCUCAAACUUGCUAUGUAGCUUUGAAAUUCUGAUCCUCCUGCCUCCAGCUGCCAAGCACUGGGAUUGCAGGGGUGUGCUAGGAUACUCGGCCCCCGAUAUAUGGCAUUUAAUUUUGCACUGAGAGCUACUCUGUCUACCACUCAAGUGAAAUGCAUCCGUCCACUGCCUAACCACCACUCUCCCCUCUGCUAGAAACCUUUUCUCCAACCUACUUCAAAGCGUUUGGCUAUCUUCUAAAUGGUGAGGGUCAUCGACAUCCAAACCUUCAGACAGCGGAAGAUUGCAGUGUCAGCAUGGCGCGGCCAGGAGAGACCGUCACCAAGAAGCCGGGACAGGAAAGGGAUCUUUAUAAGCUAUGACUAACAAGAAAAGCAAACUUUAGUAAUUCAGAGGCUGAGAGACAGAAUGAGACUUUGGCCAGCCACACAGGGAAUGGAGCAAGCAGGAGCUGUGACACAGCCCAACGGUAGAGUACCUGCCAAGUACGAGGAAGUCCUUGGGUUCGAUCCCCAGCAUAGGAAGAGAGCCAAGCUUGGUUGUAUCCACUCACAAUCACAGAACUCCGAAGGUGAACGCAGGAGGCUGAGGAGUUUAAGGUCAGCCAGGACUCGACGAGACCUCUUGAGAACGAAAGGAAAGAAGGGGGGCCGAGGCAUGAAGCAGGUCUUGCCAUCAAGAACUGGCAGAGACAUUCUCCUCCCACUCCUGUCACCUGCAUCAGAAAUAACCUGAUUACAGGCACACAGCGUACAUAACCUAUGAACCACACCCAUGCUCUGGAAGGUAGGACCUCUCCGCUUCCUCCGAAACCCUUAUAGAAAGUCCUCUCAUCUAAGAAUCCAGUGUAUCAUUAUCGUGAACACUCGGGCAUAGCCAACUUGUGACCUGAAAUGCACUGUGUAGUGGAGAUCGGCCAAACCCCACUAGAAAAGACCCCCCAACCAGAUGAGGGGUGGGAGGAUGGACAGGCUAGCAGAAAUGUCAGCAGUGACCUUGUGACCAGACACAGCGCCAGGUGUACUCUGCCUGUGUCCUGCCUCUGGACCCAAACUUCCCUACUCCUCUUCCUCUUCCUCCCUAUGCUAAUUAACACGAGGGUUGACUGGUGAUAAACCUCCACUUCAGUCUCUUAUAUGGCAGUGUCACUGAAUGGUAAAAAAUUAUUAGUUUUUUUUACCAGAGAUGGAUCCAGCGACUGCUGGGGCUGUGUUCUCCCUUCAUCCUGACAGGGAUGUAUUUGUACAAGGGAUAAUUUCAUCUUGGGAGGUGACCACACAAGGUAGAGUGUGAACGUUUAGAUAUGCACGUAGCUGUCGAGUCACCAAGAAGGUGGACAAGGCAAAUCAGCUGUCCACUCGGUCCCCAGCCCUCUGGUCUAGAUUCCUCUUUGGGAUCUGGUUCCGCAACUGGAGGUGAGGCUUGUCUGCUGCUAACUGCAGAGGCCCUUUCGAGAAAGAAGCGGAUCUAGUGGAAGGGAACCUCACCCCAGCAGCGGCCUUCACCUUGGUUUAGCAGUUGAGCUUACUCGACUUUAAUGAAAUCCAUUGGGCAGACAUGGUGGGGGCUGUGUCCCUGCUCUGGAAGACUUUUAAUAACUUCGGUCCUGGUAAACUCCUCCUCCCUCCCUUUCCAGCCUUAGACCAGGGUCGCUUGCUGCUCUGACUGCUGGUGACAAUAAAGUACUCUGUUAAUGGAUUCCACUUUCCCCACCUGACUAGCUAAAUCUGACAGUACCAACCUAGCUGCUACAUGAGGAAAGUUCCAAGAAGCACAGUGAUCAACACUGUCAUGCAUUUUAGUGUGUGUGUGUGCAUGUGCCUGUGUGUGUGUGUUCACACUCAUGUGAUUUUGUAUACUUUUGGAGACUGGAAGACAACCUCAGGUGUUCCUCAAGAACUCCCCUCCUCUUCUCAGUUUAGAAAGGAUCUCUCCCUGAGCUGGAACUCACUAAGUAGGCCUAGUUACCCAGCAAGCCUUAAACAUCUGCCUGUCUCUCUGGCAUGGGGAUUGAAAGCAUUCACCAUCGCACCUGGCUUCUUCUUGUUGUUGGUUGUUGUUACUUGUUGUUUGUUUGUUUGUUUGUUUUUAUGUGAGUUCUGGGGACUCAAACUCAGGUCCCCAUACCUGCGAGAGGAGCACCUUACCAACUCCACCAUCUCUCCAGCCUCCAUCAACACCAUCAAAGACCGCUCUGAAUGAGUGUCAGCGGUCACCUCAGAAGCCACUCGAGCUGUUAUACAGUAGAGACAAAGGGCUUAGCACAGGGCUCUCCCUACAUAGAGCAAGUUCCCAGCCCCUGGCUGGCACUACGGUUUUAGAUGCUUCCACUCUUGUCAUUACUUUCUUCUGUGAAUCGCCUUUCUCUGAUCUCACCUCCUAGCCUCAUCAGACUGGCCAUCAUCAAUCAGACUCUCCGAGGCAUGAUGAGCAGUGACCAUUUCCAUGGUGUAGGACCCAUAGGGUCAAGGGACAAUGGCAAGUGAGAUGCUUACAGUCUGGUGGGGAGUCUGUCAGUUGUUUCAGGGACACAUGCAUGCUCAGAGAUGCACUUAGAUUCUCAGCGGGAAGCUCUGUACUUAGUGCAACUAAGAUUUGCUACAAUACCAUGGACAGGUUUAAGUACUACUAGACCACAAAAUAAAACAGCCCAGACCCACAAGCAGAAGUCCACCUAUUCUCCCACCAUGAGGGGAUCCACAACCCUCUCUCUGUGCACCCCGUAAACCCUAUUUCAGCUCAGGGAAAUUCGUCAGAGACAGAGAUGUUCAGUGAAGGGCUGGUCACCCAGGCAACCUCUGCCUAGUGUGUAUCAAAAGCCCAGGCUGUCGGGGAGAAAGCAGAUGUUGGAAACCAAUUGGCACCAUUUGUACAAACAGCACAGGAUCCCUCUUCUGAGCGAUUAUUGCCUUUUAUCCUCUGGCUUCUUCUCCACCAAAAUCUCCCACAAGGCAAGAGACAGCCUGGACAUUCCUGUGACAGGAGAGCUCCACUCCCUUUGGACCAUGAGCACAUACCCGCCCAGUGGAAACUCCUCCUGAGGAAAAGGCCCCUCCUUACAGGUACCCUGUCCUCUCCCUCUGGAACAGAAAGCACAGGGUACCUGUCAUUAUCUGGCUCAUUUCCCCACCCCCAAAUAAAUUCUGAAUUUAUGAAGCCA